UUGAUCCUGGCUCAGGAUGAACGCUGGCGGCGUGCUUAACACAUGCAAGUCGAACGGGAAACCUUUUAUUGAAGCUUCGGCAGAUUUAGAUUGUUUCUAGUGGCGGACGGGUGAGUAACGCGUGGGUAACCUGCCUUAUACAGGGGGAUAACAGUCAGAAAUGACUGCUAAUACCGCAUAAGCGCACAGAGCUGCAUGGCUCGGUGUGAAAAACUCCGGUGGUAUAAGAUGGACCCGCGUUGGAUUAGCUAGUUGGUGAGGUAACGGCCCACCAAGGCGACGAUCCAUAGCCGGCCUGAGAGGGUGAACGGCCACAUUGGGACUGAGACACGGCCCAGACUCCUACGGGAGGCAGCAGUGGGGAAUAUUGCACAAUGGGGGAAACCCUGAUGCAGCGACGCCGCGUGAAGGAAGAAGUAUCUCGGUAUGUAAACUUCUAUCAGCAGGGAAGAAAAUGACGGUACCUGACUAAGAAGCCCCGGCUAACUACGUGCCAGCAGCCGCGGUAAUACGUAGGGGGCAAGCGUUAUCCGGAUUUACUGGGUGUAAAGGGAGCGUAGACGGAUGGACAAGUCUGAUGUGAAAGGCUGGGGCUCAACCCCGGGACUGCAUUGGAAACUGCCCGUCUUGAGUGCCGGAGAGGUAAGCGGAAUUCCUAGUGUAGCGGUGAAAUGCGUAGAUAUUAGGAGGAACACCAGUGGCGAAGGCGGCUUACUGGACGGUAACUGACGUUGAGGCUCGAAAGCGUGGGGAGCAAACAGGAUUAGAUACCCUGGUAGUCCACGCGGUAAACGAUGAAUGCUAGGAGUGGGGGUGACGAAGUCAUUCGGUGCCGCCCGCAAACGCAUUAAGCAUUCCACGUGGGGAGUACGUUCGCAAGAAUGAAACUCAGAGGAAUUGACGGGGACCCGCUCAAGCGGUGAAGCACGUGGUUUAAUUCGAAGCAACGCGAAGAACCUUACCAAGUCUUGUCAUCCCUCUGACCGGAACUUAACCGUUCCUUUCCUUCGGGACAGAGGAGACAGGUGGUGCAUGGUUGUCGUCAGCUCGUGUCGUGAGAUGUUGGGUUAAGUCCCGCAACGAGCGCAACCCCUAUCCUCAGUAGCCAGCAUUUAAGAUGGGCACUCUGGGGAGACUGCCAGGGAUAACCUGGAGGAAGGCGGGGAUGACGUCAAAUCAUCAUGCCCCUUAUGAUUUGGGCUACACACGUGCUACAAUGGCGUAAACAAAGGGAAGCGAACCUGCGAGGGUGGGCAAAUCCCAAAAAUAACGUCCCAGUUCGGACUGUAGUCUGCAACCCGACUACACGAAGCUGGAAUCGCUAGUAAUCGCGGAUCAGAAUGCCGCGGUGAAUAAAAACCCGGGUCUUGCACACACCGCCCGUCA
This 1386-nucleotide ribosomal RNA is filed under the name uncultured bacterium. RNAcentral describes it as "bacterial SSU rRNA". It matches the Rfam family "Bacterial small subunit ribosomal RNA". The record is from RNAcentral.